AUGUUCCACAUAAGCGUUUGCUCUGUGUGCUCUGUUCUGUAGCCAUCACUUGAAACUCUGCUGCACCCAUAUUUGUUCUAUGUCAGUUCUUCUACUCUGUUUCCGUAUUUUAUGUUGAUCUGUCCAUGUAUGUUGUUUGUAAAAUAAAAAUAAAAAUACUAAACAUAUAUCUUUAAAGAGCCUGAGAUAACCAAGAAACCAGUCCCUGAAGUACCCAUUGCUCUUCCUAAAAAGUAGGGGCUCCAGCAGUAAAAGAUAGAAUGGUGUUUAUCUUGAACCACCAGCCUUUGAUUUUUGUCUCAUUAACAAUGCUGUGAAAUGUCAAUGUUUCAUCUGGUGCAUGUGUAUUCUGUUAUUAGUUCUCUUGUGUUGAAAACUGGGGAACUUGGGUCUUUAUGUGCUCCUCCUGGUUCUUGCAUUUUAAGUGCCUAAAACAAUCAAUAUCUUUUAAGUUCCUGAGGUGCCUAAGAAGGUGGAAGAAAAACGAAUCAUUGUCCCUGAAGAAGAGGAAGUUCCACCAGUUGAAGUGUUUGAGGAGCCUGAAGAGCCUAUUCCAGAAGAGGAGAUCCCAGAGGAAGCACCUAUCGUAGAGGAGGUUGAGGAAGAGGCGCCACCUAGAGUGCCCGAAGUGGUUAAGAAAGCAGUACCUGAAGCACCUACUCCUGUUCCUAAAAAAGUGGAGGCGCCACCAGCUAAAGGUAUAACAAAUCCUUUUACGAAAGAUAAUAAUAUCUUUAAAUUCUUAUCCAUCUU
RNAcentral lists this long non-coding RNA (753 nucleotides) under Bos mutus (wild yak). Its description in RNAcentral is "lncRNA (ENSBMUG00000010907.1)". The record is from RNAcentral. Lineage: Eukaryota; Metazoa; Chordata; Mammalia; Artiodactyla; Bovidae.